AUUCCAAUCGAACGCGGAGAUAGCUGGUUCUCCCCGAAAUAGCUUUAGGGCUAGCCUGAGGUAGUAAGUAUAGGCGGUAGAGCACUGAUCGGGCUAGGGGCCGUAAAGGUUACCGAACCCUGUCAAACUCCGAAUGGAUAUACUGUAGAGCCUUGGAGUCAGACUACGAGUGAUAAGAUCCGUGGUCAAAAGGGAAACAGCCCAGACCACCAGCUAAGGUCCCCAAUGUCGUACUAAGUGGAAAAGGAUGUGGGGUUUCAUAAACAACCAGGAUGUUGGCUCAGAAGCAGCCACCAUUUAAAGAGUGCGUAAUAGCUCACUGGUCGAGAGACCCUGCGCCGAAGAUUCCCGGGGCUAAAGUACGAAACCGAAGCUGUGGCUGUAUACGUAAAGUAUACGGGGUAGGGGAGCGUUCCCAUAGGGUAGAAGUCGAACUGGAAGGUUCGGUGGACUUGUGGGAAGUGAGAAUGUUGGUAUGAGUAGCGAAAAGAAAGGUGAGAAUCCUUUCCACCGAAAGCAUAAGGAUUCCUGAGCAACGAUCGUCGUCUCAGGGUAAGUCGGGACCUAAUCCGAGGCAGAGAGCGUAGGAGAUGGACAACUGGUUGAUAUUCCAGUACCGGUAGUAAUUGUUUGAGCAAUGGAGUGACACAGAAGGGCAGGCAAGCAUGCGAAUGGAAGAGCAUGUGUAAGCGUGUAGGGUGGUGCAUAGGCAAAUCCGUGCACUGAAAGCCUGAGGCGUGAUGCGGAGUGAGCAGAGAUGCGAGCGAAGUUGUUGACCCCACACUGUCGAGAAAAGCUUCUAGUGAGAGAGCUACCGCCCGUACCGUAAACCGACACAGGUAUGCGGGGAGAGAAUCCUAAGGUGCGCGGGAGAACCCUCGUUAAGGAACUCGGCAAAAUGUACCCGUAACUUCGGGAUAAGGGUAGCCACUGUUGUGAAGUCCCACGCGGAUGGAGCAUAGAGUGGUCGCAGAGAAGAGGCCCAAGCGACUGUUUACCAUAAACACAGGUGCCUGCUAAAGCGAAAGCUGACGUAUAGGUGCUGACACCUGCCCAGUGCCGGAAGGUUAAGGAAGGAUGUUCGGAUUAGUCCAAAGCAUUCGACUGAAGCCCCGGUGAACGGCGGCCGUAACUAUAACGGUCCUAAGGUAGCGAAAUUCCUUGUCGGGUAA
This 1172-nucleotide ribosomal RNA is filed under the name human gut metagenome. RNAcentral describes it as "bacterial LSU rRNA". It matches the Rfam family "Bacterial large subunit ribosomal RNA", at positions 826 to 1979 of the family's 2925-position model. The record is from RNAcentral.